This 65-nucleotide transfer RNA is filed under the name Dismorphia amphione. Its description in RNAcentral is "tRNA-Val". Lineage: Eukaryota; Metazoa; Arthropoda; Insecta; Lepidoptera; Pieridae. The record is from RNAcentral.
CAAAUUAGAGCUUGUGGAAAGUAUUUCGUUUACAUUGAAAAGAAAUUAUAAAAUAAUUAGUUUGA